AUUGAACGCUGGCGGCAGGCCUAACACAUGCAAGUCGGACGGUAGCACAGAGGAGCUUGCUCCUUGGGUGACGAGUGGCGGACGGGUGAGUAAUGUCUGGGGAUCUGCCCGAUAGAGGGGGAUAACCACUGGAAACGGUGGCUAAUACCGCAUAACGUCGCAAGACCAAAGAGGGGGACCUUCGGGCCUCUCACUAUCGGAUGAACCCAGAUGGGAUUAGCUAGAAGGCGGGUAAUGGCCGACCUAGGCGCCGAUCCCUAGCUGGUUUGAAAGGAUGACCAGCCACGCUGGAACUGAGACACGGUCCAGACUCCUACGGGAGGCAGCAGUGGGGAAUAUUGCACAAUGGGCGCAAGCCUGAUGCAGCCAGGCCGCGUGUAUGAAGAAGGCCUUCGGGUUGUAAAGUACUUUCAGCGGGGAGGAAGGCGGUGAGGUUAAUAACCUUGCCGAUUGACGUUACCCGCAGAAGAAGCACUGGCUAACUCCGUGCCAGCAGCCGCCGUAA
RNAcentral lists this ribosomal RNA (505 nucleotides) under uncultured bacterium. RNAcentral's name for it is "partial 16S ribosomal RNA". It matches the Rfam family "Bacterial small subunit ribosomal RNA", at positions 29 to 523 of the family's 1533-position model. The record is from RNAcentral.